GCUCUUACGGGUGGCGAGUGGCGGACGGGUGAGGAAUACAUCGGAAUCUACUUUUUCGUGGGGGAUAACGUAGGGAAACUUACGCUAAUACCGCAUACGACCUACGGGUGAAAGCAGGGGACCUUCGGGCCUUGCGCGAUUGAAUGAGCCGAUGUCGGAUUAGCUAGUUGGCGGGGUAAAGGCCCACCAAGGCGACGAUCCGUAGCUGGUCUGAGAGGAUGAUCAGCCACACUGGAACUGAGACACGGUCCAGACUCCUACGGGAGGCAGCAGUGGGGAAUAUUGGACAAUGGGCGCAAGCCUGAUCCAGCCAUACCGCGUGGGUGAAGAAGGCCUUCGGGUUGUAAAGCCCUUUUGUUGGGAAAGAAAUCCAGCUGGUUAAUACCCGGUUGGGAUGACGGUACCCAAAGAAUAAGCACCGGCUAACUUCGUGCCAGCAGCCGCGGUAAUACGAAGGGUGCAAGCGUUACUCGGAAUUACUGGGCGUAAAGCGUGCGUAGGUGGUCGUUUAAGUCUGUUG
This 520-nucleotide ribosomal RNA is filed under the name Stenotrophomonas sp. EB78. Its description in RNAcentral is "bacterial SSU rRNA". It matches the Rfam family "Bacterial small subunit ribosomal RNA", at positions 75 to 594 of the family's 1533-position model. The record is from RNAcentral. Lineage: Bacteria; Pseudomonadati; Pseudomonadota; Gammaproteobacteria; Lysobacterales; Lysobacteraceae.